RNAcentral lists this ribosomal RNA (359 nucleotides) under uncultured Spirochaeta sp. Its description in RNAcentral is "bacterial SSU rRNA". It matches the Rfam family "Bacterial small subunit ribosomal RNA", at positions 1021 to 1382 of the family's 1533-position model. Lineage: Bacteria; Pseudomonadati; Spirochaetota; Spirochaetia; Spirochaetales; Spirochaetaceae. The record is from RNAcentral.
UUGCGGUCUGUAUACAGUGCUGCAUGGCUGUCGUCAGCUCGUGCUGUGAAGUGUUGGGUUAAGUCCCGCAACGAGCGCAACCCCUAUCAUCUGUUGCCAGCAUUUAAGGUGGGGACUCAGAUGAGACUGCCGGUGACAAACCGGAGGAAGGUGGGACGACGUCAAGUCAUCAUGGCCCUUAUGUCCUGGGCUACACACGUGCUACAAUGGCCGGUACAGAGUGAAGCGAAACCGCGAGGUGAAGCAAAACGCAGAAAGCCGGUCUCAGUACGGAUUGGAGUCUGAAACUCGACUUCAUGAAGUUGGAAUCGCUAGUAAUCGCGCAUCAGCAUGGCGCGGUGAAUACGUUCCCGGGCCUU